CGAUAGCUGAGUAGUACGUUAGGAAUUUUAAUCCCUGGGGCCAUAAGUAUUCCUAGGGAACUGUCACUUCUUUAAUCGUGGUUAAAGUAUAUGGUGCCCACCUGUAUAACAGGCAACAGAGGAUAACUUAUCCGACGUCUAUUUGGCUUUCGU
RNAcentral lists this non-coding RNA (153 nucleotides) under Alphaproteobacteria bacterium. RNAcentral describes it as "6S RNA". It matches the Rfam family "6S / SsrS RNA". From Rfam's summary of the family: E. coli 6S RNA was the first non coding RNA to be sequenced, but its function was unknown until recently. It consists of 184 nucleotides that fold into an extended hairpin structure with a large single-stranded internal bulge. Lineage: Bacteria; Pseudomonadati; Pseudomonadota; Alphaproteobacteria. The record is from RNAcentral.